AUUGAACGCUGGCGGCAGGCCUAACACAUGCAAGUCGAGCGGUAGAGAGAAGCUUGCUUCUCUUGAGAGCGGCGGACGGGUGAGUAAUGCCUAGGAAUCUGCCUGGUAGUGGGGGAUAACGUUCGGAAACGGACGCUAAUACCGCAUACGUCCUACGGGAGAAAGCAGGGGACCUUCGGGCCUUGCGCUAUCAGAUGAGCCUAGGUCGGAUUAGCUAGUUGGUGGGGUAAUGGCUCACCAAGGCGACGAUCCGUAACUGGUCUGAGAGGAUGAUCAGUCACACUGGAACUGAGACACGGUCCAGACUCCUACGGGAGGCAGCAGUGGGGAAUAUUGGACAAUGGGCGAAAGCCUGAUCCAGCCAUGCCGCGUGUGUGAAGAAGGUCUUCGGAUUGUAAAGCACUUUAAGUUGGGAGGAAGGGUUGUAGAUUAAUACUCUGCAAUUUUGACGUUACCGACAGAAUAAGCACCGGCUAACUCUGUGCCAGCAGCCGCGGUAAUACAGAGGGUGCAAGCGUUAAUCGGAAUUACUGGGCGUAAAGCGCGCGUAGGUGGUUAGUUAAGUUGGAUGUGAAAUCCCCGGGCUCAACCUGGGAACUGCAUUCAAAACUGACUGACUAGAGUAUGGUAGAGGGUGGUGGAAUUUCCUGUGUAGCGGUGAAAUGCGUAGAUAUAGGAAGGAACACCAGUGGCGAAGGCGACCACCUGGACUGAUACUGACACUGAGGUGCGAAAGCGUGGGGAGCAAACA
This 751-nucleotide ribosomal RNA is filed under the name uncultured Pseudomonas sp. Its description in RNAcentral is "bacterial SSU rRNA". It matches the Rfam family "Bacterial small subunit ribosomal RNA", at positions 28 to 774 of the family's 1533-position model. The record is from RNAcentral. Lineage: Bacteria; Pseudomonadati; Pseudomonadota; Gammaproteobacteria; Pseudomonadales; Pseudomonadaceae.